GAUGAACGCUGGCGGCGUGCUUAACACAUGCAAGUCGAACGAGAAGUGAAGACGUAUACCUUCUGCCGGAGUGCCUUACUUGGAGUUGCGGCCGGGUUAGUAACGCCUUGGUAUUCUGCUACAUACAGGGGGAUAACAGUUGUAAACGACUGUUAAUACUGCAUCAGACCACAGCAUCGCAUGGUGCGGGGGUAAAAACUGCGGUGGUAUGAUAUGGACUCGCUUUUGCUUUGCCGGCUGGCGGGGUCACUGCCCACCAAAGCGACGGUCGAUAGCCGAUCUGAGAGGCGGACAGGCCACGUUGGAGCUGCGACACGGCCCAAACUCCUACGGAAGGCAGCAGAGGAGAAUAUAGCACAAUGGAGGAAAACCUGAUGCAGCGACGCCGGGUGAGUGAAGAAGUAUUUCGGUAUGUAAAGCUGUAUCAGCAGAGAAGAAAAUGACGGUACCUGGGUAAGAAGCCCCGGCUAACUACGUG
Molecule: ribosomal RNA, 478 nt
Filed under: uncultured bacterium
Lineage: Bacteria
Description: partial 16S ribosomal RNA
Rfam family: Bacterial small subunit ribosomal RNA
Source: RNAcentral